RNAcentral lists this long non-coding RNA (795 nucleotides) under Manacus vitellinus (golden-collared manakin). RNAcentral describes it as "lncRNA (ENSMVIG00005000177.1)". The record is from RNAcentral. Lineage: Eukaryota; Metazoa; Chordata; Aves; Passeriformes; Pipridae.
GGACUGUGUCACAGCUCCUCACUUCCAUUGUUCAGAACUGGACAUCCCACAGGAUUUUAUUACAGGUCCCUUAACUGCCCUGAGAGUGUCAAGAAGAGAUGCUGAGUGCACGGGCAAGUUAGUGAUGUACCUGCUAGAAUCCUGGGAACCAGGACCUGCCUCAGUCCAUGAUGGAGCAGAAAGCCUCAGAUAUCCCUUCUGCACCUCUGUGUCUGAUUUCGUCCCUGGCUCUCCAAGAAACCCGAGCUUGCCAGGAUGGAUUCUCCUCUGCAACCAGCCUCCCUGCAGCAGAUGCCAGGAUAAAAUGCCUGUCUUUCCUGAAGGGCUCCUCUCUGCUGCCAGCGGGACCAGCGGCAUCUCAGCUGAGAAUGAAAGCCACUGUUUUAUGGCUGCUCUAGCCUGAUAUCUCGGAGUAUUGGCCAACACAGACACACAGAACUGCUGGAAUUGCAUACGAGUAACACAAGGAAUGCAAAGAUUUUCUUGGCAUCACUGCUAGGGAAUGCCCACUUAAGAAUACUUAUGUACUUUGUACACAAGAUCCCUUUUUCUUUGACAGAAUGGAUAAUGAGACAUUUUCUCUGCACACCCAAGAAGGCACAUGGUGUGAUUCCUGCACAGGGCCAGGAGUUGGACUCGAUUAUCCUGAUGGGUCCCUUACAACUCAGUACAUUCUAUGAUUUUAUUAUUCUAAGAACCUAGAAAACCUGGGAAGAUAUCCCAGGGCAUCUCUCUUGGGAUUUAGCAUUUACUGUAGCAUUCAGAAGUCUAAACGCACAGCCAAUAAAAGAAUGU